This 497-nucleotide ribosomal RNA is filed under the name uncultured bacterium. RNAcentral's name for it is "partial 16S ribosomal RNA". It matches the Rfam family "Bacterial small subunit ribosomal RNA", at positions 28 to 507 of the family's 1533-position model. The record is from RNAcentral.
GAUGAACGCUGGCGGCGUGCCUAAUACAUGCAAGUCGAGCGAACAGAUGAGGAGCUUGCUCCUCUGACGUUAGCGGCGGACGGGUGAGUAACACGUGGAUAACCUACCUAUAAGACUGGGAUAACUUCGGGAAACCGGAGCUAAUACCGGAUAAUAUAUUGAACCGCAUGGUUCAAUAGUGAAAGACGGUUUUGCUGUCACUUAUAGAUGGAUCCGCGCCGCAUUAGCUAGUUGGUAAGGUAACGGCUUACCAAGGCAACGAUGCGUAGCCGACCUGGGGGGGUGAUCGGCCACACUGGAACUGAGACACGGUCCAGACUCCUACGGGAGGCAGCAGUAGGGAAUCUUCCGCAAUGGGCGAAAGCCUGACGGAGCAACGCCGCGUGAGUGAUGAAGGUCUUCGGAUCGUAAAACUCUGUUAUUAGGGAAGAACAAAUGUGUAAGUAACUAUGCACGUCUUGACGGUACCUAAUCAGAAAGCCACGGCUAACUACGUG